CAUCAAAUUCAUUACCAUCACAAGGAAGCUUCAAUUCAAUUGAGCUUACUUGUUUUUCUCUCUUUUUUCCGGCGAGGGUCACUGGGAUCGUGUCUUUUGAUGUCCACUUCUUGCCUCCUAAUUCGAUACGGCACCGGGAUCUUCCUGAGGGUUUUUACAUUCUCCGGUGGAAGGAAAAUGGAAGAGCAGAGGCAGACUUUGGGAGAUAUAAUGUGAAUACUGUUCUGAGUAGAAUAUACACUCUCUUCUCUAGAAGUGGAAUACCCAUUGCUAAGAAACAUCAAGAGAUUAUGAACAUGGUUGAUGAAUAAACACCCCUCGACUGCCAUGGCUGACCGAUGAAGAUCUCACCAUCUAAUGCAACUUUAUAUGAGCAUUCUGGGUUUGAAUCUGCCUUGCAAGUUCCUUACAGGUAUGAAGUUUUCCUGAUUCACCAUUAAAGAUGAAAUUUGAUUCAAUUUUAGGAGAAAGCAUGAGCAGUUGGGCUUAAGCAAUCAAAGGUUGAAGUUCCAGUUUUGUUGAUGAUGGGUGGAAAAGAUUAUCUAAUGAAAUUUCCAGGGAUUGAAGACUAAGUCAAGACUGAGAAAUUGAGGGAAUUCAUGGCUGAUUUGGAGGUUGUAGAUUUGGCUGAUGGAACUCAUUUCAUGCAAGAGCAACUCUCACAACAACUCAAUCUCCUUUAUCACAUUUCUUACUAAACAUAAUAGUUGAUUAACACAGCAUAAUAAUGGUUCAAGUUCCCUUCCAAUGGAUUCAACUAUCAACUGAACCACUUAAAUUGGUUGAUCCAUCAUUUUCUUUUAAAUAAAUCAACAGUGUAAUACUACUAACAAUUGGAUUUCUUUUAGAAUAGGUGAUUAAAUCUUCCAACCCCUAAAAACAAUUAUCGCAGUGACAUUAAAGCUAAACUCAUGUUGAGUGAGGCAAUGGGGUGACCUUGGCAUAUUUAUUAAGAAUAUUGUCUUUUUCUUUUUCACUCUUGAACUGAAUACAGAAACAGAAAAAAAAAAAA
Molecule: long non-coding RNA, 1012 nt
Organism: Cucumis sativus (cucumber)
Lineage: Eukaryota; Viridiplantae; Streptophyta; Magnoliopsida; Cucurbitales; Cucurbitaceae
Exons: 2
Source: RefSeq, a predicted model, not a curated record